ACAUGAUUAAUGUGACACAAUACAAUUAUGAAAACAAAUGGUCUAAUAUAUAACUAAACAAAUUACGAGUAAAAAAUAGGACGGACAUACACCUACGACAACUACUGAACUACCGACUUCUGAAUUGGGACAAGCACAUAAAGAAUGUGGCGGGGUUAAUAGUUAUCAAAGGUACCAGGCUUAUACCUUUAUUCGCCAGACGCGUGUUUCGUCUACAUAAUACUUAUCAGUGACGUACAAAGUUGAAAAGCAUUGAGGACCCG
RNAcentral lists this long non-coding RNA (263 nucleotides) under Mytilus galloprovincialis (Mediterranean mussel). Lineage: Eukaryota; Metazoa; Mollusca; Bivalvia; Mytilida; Mytilidae. The record is from RNAcentral.